UACAGAGGGUGCAAGCGUUGCUCGGAAUUAUUGGGCGUAAAGGGUAGGUAGGUGGUCUCGUUUGUCUGAGGUGAAAGCCCUGGGCUUAACCUGGGAAGUGCCUCGGAAACGGCGAGACUAGAGUCCUGGAGAGGGUCGUGGAACUCCCGGUGUAGCGGUGAAAUGCGUAGAGAUCGGGAAGAAUACCAGAGGCGAAGGCGACGACCUGGACAGGCACUGACACUCAACUACGAAAGCGUGGGGAUCAAACAGG
Molecule: ribosomal RNA, 253 nt
Filed under: uncultured prokaryote
Description: partial 16S ribosomal RNA
Rfam family: Bacterial small subunit ribosomal RNA
Source: RNAcentral